GACGAACGCUGGCGGCGUGCUUAACACAUGCAAGUCGAACGGAAAGGCCCAGCUUGCUGGGUGCUCGAGUGGCGAACGGGUGAGUAACACGUGGGUGAUCUGCCCCUAACUUCGGGAUAAGCUUGGGAAACUGGGUCUAAUACCGGAUAGGACAAUCGUUUAGUGUCGGUUGUGGAAAGUUUUUUCGGUUAGGGAUGAGCCCGCGGCCUAUCAGCUUGUUGGUGGGGUAAUGGCCUACCAAGGCGUCGACGGGUAGCCGGCCUGAGAGGGUGGACGGCCACAUUGGGACUGAGAUACGGCCCAGACUCCUACGGGAGGCAGCAGUGGGGAAUAUUGCACAAUGGGCGCAAGCCUGAUGCAGCGAAGCAGCGUGGGGGAUGACGGCCUUCGGGUUGUAAACCUCUUUCGACAGGGACGAAGCUUUGGUGACGGUACCUGUAUAAGAAGCACCGGCUAACUACGUG
This 464-nucleotide ribosomal RNA is filed under the name uncultured bacterium. RNAcentral's name for it is "partial 16S ribosomal RNA". It matches the Rfam family "Bacterial small subunit ribosomal RNA", at positions 28 to 507 of the family's 1533-position model. The record is from RNAcentral.